RNAcentral lists this long non-coding RNA (219 nucleotides) under Lathyrus oleraceus (garden pea). RNAcentral's name for it is "Pisum sativum (pea) long non-coding RNA (PSAT_LNC020389)". The record is from RNAcentral. Lineage: Eukaryota; Viridiplantae; Streptophyta; Magnoliopsida; Fabales; Fabaceae.
AAUCGUGUUUGCUUAAUUUGGGUUUGUACUCAUCCGUUUGCUUAAUUCAGAAUAUAGGAAUAUAAAUCUAUCAUGUAUCUAUUGCGCUUGUCAAUCAAAAUUGAAUCGAAUAGAGAUCGAAGAUGCUUUGGGAAUUGACAGGUAAAAACCAAUGAUUAGCCGGAAACCAAAAAUAGUAGAUUGGCUUAUUUUAUAAUCGCUUAUUUUAAUCACUUUUUU